RNAcentral lists this ribosomal RNA (429 nucleotides) under Gemmatimonadota bacterium. RNAcentral describes it as "Gemmatimonadetes bacterium partial 16S ribosomal RNA". It matches the Rfam family "Bacterial small subunit ribosomal RNA", at positions 355 to 776 of the family's 1533-position model. The record is from RNAcentral. Lineage: Bacteria; Pseudomonadati; Gemmatimonadota.
UAGGGAAUCUUCGGCAAUGGACGAAAGUCUGACCGAGCAACGCCGCGUGAGUGAAGAAGGUUUUCGGAUCGUAAAACUCUGUUGUUAGAGAAGAACAAGGACGUUAGUAACUGAACGUCCCCUGACGGUAUCUAACCAGAAAGCCACGGCUAACUACGUGCCAGCAGCCGCGGUAAUACGUAGGUGGCAAGCGUUGUCCGGAUUUAUUGGGCGGAAAGCGAGCGCAGGCGGUUUCUUAAGUCUGAUGUGAAAGCCCCCGGCUCAACCGGGGAGGGUCAUUGGAAACUGGGAGACUUGAGUGCAGAAGAGGAGAGUGGAAUUCCAUGUGUAGCGGUGAAAUGCGUAGAUAUAUGGAGGAACACCAGUGGCGAAGGCGGCUCUCUGGUCUGUAACUGACGCUGAGGCUCGAAAGCGUGGGGAGCAAACAGG